UAGGGAAUCUUCCACAAUGGACGAAAGUCUGAUGGAGCAACGCCGCGUGAGUGAAGAAGGUUUUCGGAUCGUAAAGCCCUGUUGUUGGUGAAGAAGGAUAGAGGCAGUAACUGGUCUUUAUUUGACGGUAAUCAACCAGAAAGUCACGGCUAACUACGUGCUAG
Molecule: ribosomal RNA, 164 nt
Filed under: uncultured bacterium
Lineage: Bacteria
Description: partial 16S rRNA
Rfam family: Bacterial small subunit ribosomal RNA
Source: RNAcentral